Molecule: ribosomal RNA, 276 nt
Filed under: Oxyrrhis marina
Lineage: Eukaryota; Dinophyceae; Oxyrrhinales; Oxyrrhinaceae
Description: partial Bacterial large subunit ribosomal RNA
Rfam family: Bacterial large subunit ribosomal RNA
Source: RNAcentral
UGCACAGCAGUGAGGGCAUGGGUGCUAAGGUCCAUGUCCGAGAGGGAAAGAACCCAGAUCUGCAGCUAAGGUCCCAAAGUAUAUGCUAAGUUGAACUAAGGCGGUUCAGUUGCCGAGACAGCCAGGAGGUUAGCUUGGAAGCAGCUAUUCCUUUAAAGAGUGCGUAACAGCUCACUGGUCGAGCGACAGAGCAUCGAUAAUAAUCGGGCAUAAAGCAUAUCACCGAAGCUCAGAAAUUACAAUUUAUUGUAAUUGGUAGGGGAGCAUUCUAAUCUG